RNAcentral lists this ribosomal RNA (1267 nucleotides) under Paraleptophlebia submarginata. Its description in RNAcentral is "16S ribosomal RNA". The stretch from base 842 to 1200 matches the Rfam family "Bacterial large subunit ribosomal RNA", at positions 2073 to 2647 of the family's 2925-position model. The record is from RNAcentral. Lineage: Eukaryota; Metazoa; Arthropoda; Insecta; Ephemeroptera; Leptophlebiidae.
AAGGAAAGAAAUUUAUUAUUUGUAGUAGUAUUUUAGGUAAAUUAUUAUUAAGAUUGGGGUUUAGUAUAGAGAAAAGAAUGUAUUGUGAAUUUUAGUACUGUGAAGGAAUGUUGAAAUAGCUUAAAUAAUAUUUAUGAAAAAGUAGAUUUGUGUCGUACCUUUUGUAUCAGGGUUUAUUAAAAAUCUAAAAUAUUUUAUAGUCCCGAGGUUUAAAGAGCUAAUUUUAUGUGAAGUUAAAGUAUCAAAUUUAUUACACACAUACUUUUAGAAAUGAAAUAUUAAUCGGUUUAAAGGAUAUCUGGUUUCUUAAGAAAUUAAUUCAAUUUAGGUAUUUGAGUGAUUAACAGUUAAAUUUUAGACUGUUAGUUCGGGGGUACUAAAGAAGUAGGGGAUAAGCUUUAUUUUUAGUUUAUAAAUGUAAACUGUGUUUGAUUUGUAGGCUUGAGGGUAGCCAUCAAUUAAUCGUGUUAUAACCUAUUAAACUAAAACUUGAUUUUGUUUGUUUUAAUUUAUCUAUUAAGAAUUAGUUUAUAAUAAAGAAGAGCUAAAUAUAAUGAUAAAAUUAUUAUAAUUUAAUGUGUAAGUUAAAAAUGGUUAGAUUUGGGUAAGGAAUUCGGCAAAGUAGUACUCACCUGUUUAUCAAAAACAUCGCCUUUGGGGUUUAUAAAAGGUAUAACCUGCCCACUGAUUGUUUAAAGGGCCGCAGUAUUUUGACUGUGCAAAGGUAGCAUAAUCAUUAGUCUCUUAAUUAGAGGCUGGCAUGAAUGGUUGGAUGAGGUAUUAACUGUCUCUUUCGGAAAAAUGUAGAAUUUAACUUUUUAGUCAAAAGGCUAAAAUAGAUUUAGAGGACGAGAAGACCCUAUAGAGCUUUAUAUUAAUUGGGGGGUGGGGGUAGAGGAAGCGUUCUGUUACUUAUUUAGUAUUUUGUUGGGGUGACAAAGAAAUAAUUAAACUUUCUUUUUUAAGAACAAUGAUUAUUGACUAAAGGAUCCGUGCUGAACGAUUGUAAGACUAAGUUACCUUAGGGAUAACAGCAUAAUCUUCUUUGAGAGUUCUAAUCGACAAGAAGGGUUGUGACCUCGAUGUUGGAUUAAGAUUAAUUUAAAAUGUAGCCGUUUUAAAGUUGGGUCUGUUCGACCCUUAGAUUCUUACAUGAUCUGAGUUCAGACCGGCGUGAGCCAGGUUGGUUUCUAUCCUUAAUUAUUUAAAAUGGUUUAGUACGAAAGGACCCGCUAUUUAAGAUAAUCUUUUAUUUAGAAUAAUAUUA